ACAAUGGUUGGUACAACGAGUUGCGAGUCGGUGACGGCGAGCUAAUCUCUUAAAGCCAAUCUCAGUUCGGAUUGUAGGCUGCAACUCGCCUACAUGAAGUCGGAAUCGCUAGUAAUCGCGGAUCAGCACGCCGCGGUGAAUACGUUCCCGGGGCUU
This 156-nucleotide ribosomal RNA is filed under the name uncultured Streptococcus sp. Its description in RNAcentral is "partial 16S ribosomal RNA". It matches the Rfam family "Bacterial small subunit ribosomal RNA", at positions 1227 to 1382 of the family's 1533-position model. The record is from RNAcentral. Lineage: Bacteria; Bacillati; Bacillota; Bacilli; Lactobacillales; Streptococcaceae.